UUGCCUACGGGGGGCAGCAGUGAGGAAUAUUGGUCAAUGGUCGGGAGACUGAACCAGCCAAGCCGCGUGAGGGAGGAAGGUACAGAGUAUCGUAAACCUCUUUUGUCAGGGAACAAGGGCGGGGACGUGUCCCGGCCCGGAGAGUACCCGGAGAAAAAGCAUCGGCUAACUCCGUGCCAGCAGCCGCGGUAAUACGGAGGAUGCGAGCGUUAUCCGGAUUUAUUGGGUUUAAAGGGUGCGUAGGCGGGCUUUUAAGUCAGCGGUAAAAAUUCGGGGCUCAACCCCGGCCGGCCGUUGAAACUGGG
This 305-nucleotide ribosomal RNA is filed under the name uncultured bacterium. Its description in RNAcentral is "bacterial SSU rRNA". It matches the Rfam family "Bacterial small subunit ribosomal RNA", at positions 335 to 637 of the family's 1533-position model. The record is from RNAcentral.